RNAcentral lists this ribosomal RNA (2926 nucleotides) under Salmonella bongori CFSAN000510. RNAcentral describes it as "23S ribosomal RNA". It matches the Rfam family "Bacterial large subunit ribosomal RNA". Lineage: Bacteria; Pseudomonadati; Pseudomonadota; Gammaproteobacteria; Enterobacterales; Enterobacteriaceae. The record is from RNAcentral.
GGGUUGUGAGGUUAAGCGACCAAGCGUACACGGUGGAUGCCCUGGCAGUCAGAGGCGAUGAAGGACGUGCUAAUCUGCGAAAAGCGCCGGCGAGGUGAUAUGAACCCUUGACCCGGCGAUGUCCGAAUGGGGAAACCCAGUGUGACUCGUCACACUAUCAUUAACUGAAUCCAUAGGUUAAUGAGGCGAACCGGGGGAACUGAAACAUCUAAGUACCCCGAGGAAAAGAAAUCAACCGAGAUUCCCCCAGUAGCGGCGAGCGAACGGGGAGGAGCCCAGAGCCUGAAUCAGCAGGUGUGUUAGUGGAAGUGUCUGGAAAGGCACGCGAUACAGGGUGAGAGCCCCGUACACGAAAAUGCACCUGGUGUGAGCUCGAUGAGUAGGGCGGGACACGUGGUAUCCUGUCUGAAUAUGGGGGGACCAUCCUCCAAGGCUAAAUACUCCUGACUGACCGAUAGUGAACCAGUACCGUGAGGGAAAGGCGAAAAGAACCCCGGCGAGGGGAGUGAAAAAGAACCUGAAACCGUGUACGUACAAGCAGUGGGAGCACAGGUUUACCUGUGUGACUGCGUACCUUUUGUAUAAUGGGUCAGCGACUUAUAUUCUGUAGCAAGGUUAACCGAAUAGGGGAGCCGGAGGGAAACCGAGUCUUAAUUGGGCGUUAAGUUGCAGGGUAUAGACCCGAAACCCGGUGAUCUAGCCAUGGGCAGGUUGAAGGUUGGGUAACACUAACUGGAGGACCGAACCGACUAAUGUUGAAAAAUUAGCGGAUGACCUGUGGCUGGGGGUGAAAGGCCAAUCAAACCGGGAGAUAGCUGGUUCUCCCCGAAAGCUAUUUAGGUAGCGCCUCGUGAACUCAUCUCCGGGGGUAGAGCACUGUUUCGGCUAGGGGGCCAUCCCGGCUUACCAACCCGAUGCAAACUGCGAAUACCGGAGAAUGUUAUCACGGGAGACACACGGCGGGUGCUAACGUCCGUCGUGAAGAGGGAAACAACCCAGACCGCCAGCUAAGGUCCCAAAGUCAUGGUUAAGUGGGAAACGAUGUGGGAAGGCCCAGACAGCCAGGAUGUUGGCUUAGAAGCAGCCAUCAUUUAAAGAAAGCGUAAUAGCUCACUGGUCGAGUCGGCCUGCGCGGAAGAUGUAACGGGGCUAAACCAUGCACCGAAGCUGCGGCAGCGGCACGCAAGUGUUGUUGGGUAGGGGAGCGUUCUGUAAGCCGUUGAAGGUGUGCUGUGAGGCAUGCUGGAGGUAUCAGAAGUGCGAAUGCUGACAUAAGUAACGAUAAAGCGGGUGAAAAGCCCGCUCGCCGGAAGACCAAGGGUUCCUGUCCAACGUUAAUCGGGGCAGGGUGAGUCGACCCCUAAGGCGAGGCCGAAAGGCGUAGUCGAUGGGAAACGGGUUAAUAUUCCCGUACUUGGUGUUACUGCGAAGGGGGGACGGAGAAGGCUAUGUUGGCCGGGCGACGGUUGUCCCGGUUUAAGCGUGUAGGCUGGUUUUCCAGGCAAAUCCGGAAAAUCAAGGCUGAGGCGUGACGACGAGGCACCACGGUGCUGAAGCAACAAAUGCCCUGCUUCCAGGAAAAGCCUCUAAGCGUCAGGUAACAUCAAAUCGUACCCCAAACCGACACAGGUGGUCAGGUAGAGAAUACCAAGGCGCUUGAGAGAACUCGGGUGAAGGAACUAGGCAAAAUGGUGCCGUAACUUCGGGAGAAGGCACGCUGACAUGUAGGUGAAGCGGUUUACCCGUGGAGCUGAAGUCAGUCGAAGAUACCAGCUGGCUGCAACUGUUUAUUAAAAACACAGCACUGUGCAAACACGAAAGUGGACGUAUACGGUGUGACGCCUGCCCGGUGCCGGAAGGUUAAUUGAUGGGGUCAGCGCAAGCGAAGCUCCUGAUCGAAGCCCCGGUAAACGGCGGCCGUAACUAUAACGGUCCUAAGGUAGCGAAAUUCCUUGUCGGGUAAGUUCCGACCUGCACGAAUGGCGUAAUGAUGGCCAGGCUGUCUCCACCCGAGACUCAGUGAAAUUGAACUCGCUGUGAAGAUGCAGUGUACCCGCGGCAAGACGGAAAGACCCCGUGAACCUUUACUAUAGCUUGACACUGAACACUGGUCCUUGAUGUGCAGGAUAGGUGGGAGGCUUUGAAGCGUGGACGCCAGUCUGCGUGGAGCCGUCCUUGAAAUACCACCCUUUAAUGGCUGGUGUUCUAACGUGGGCCCCUGACCGGGGUUGCGGACAGUGUCUGGUGGGUAGUUUGACUGGGGCGGUCUCCUCCCAAAGAGUAACGGAGGAGCACGAAGGUUGGCUAAUCCUGGUCGGACAUCAGGAGGUUAGUGCAAUGGCAUAAGCCAGCUUGACUGCGAGCGUGACGGCGCGAGCAGGUGCGAAAGCAGGUCAUAGUGAUCCGGUGGUUCUGAAUGGAAGGGCCAUCGCUCAACGGAUAAAAGGUACUCCGGGGAUAACAGGCUGAUACCGCCCAAGAGUUCAUAUCGACGGCGGUGUUUGGCACCUCGAUGUCGGCUCAUCACAUCCUGGGGCUGAAGUAGGUCCCAAGGGUAUGGCUGUUCGCCAUUUAAAGUGGUACGCGAGCUGGGUUUAGAACGUCGUGAGACAGUUCGGUCCCUAUCUGCCGUGGGCGCUGGAAGAUUGAGGGGGGCUGCUCCUAGUACGAGAGGACCGGAGUGGACGCAUCACUGGUGUUCGGGUUGUCAUGCCAAUGGCACUGCCCGGUAGCUAAAUGCGGAAGAGAUAAGUGCUGAAAGCAUCUAAGCACGAAACUUGCCCCGAGAUGAAUCUUCCCUGAGACUUUAAGUCUCCUGAAGGAACGUUGAAGACGACGACGUUGAUAGGCCGGGUGUGUAAGCGCAGCGAUGCGUUGAGCUAACCGGUACUAAUGAACCGUGAGGCUUAACCUUACAACGCCGAAG